ACGCACGCUGGCGGCGUGCUUAACACAUGCCAGUCGAGCGGUAAGGCCUUUCGGGGUACACGAGCGGCGAACGGGUGAGUAACACGUGGGUGAUCUGCCCUGCACUUCGGGAUAAGCCUGGGAAACUGGGUCUAAUACCGGAUAUGACCUCCUAUCGCAUGGUGGGUGGUGGAAAGAUUUAUCGGUGCAGGAUGGGCCCGCGGCCUAUCAGCUUGUUGGUGGGGUAAUGGCCUACCAAGGCGACGACGGGUAGCCGACCUGAGAGGGUGACCGGCCACACUGGGACUGAGACACGGCCCAGACUCCUACGGGAGGCAGCAGUGGGGAAUAUUGCACAAUGGGCGAAAGCCUGAUGCAGCGACGCCGCGUGAGGGAUGACGGCCUUCGGGUUGUAAACCUCUUUCAGCAGGGACGAAGCGCAAGUGACGGUACCUGCAGAAGAAGCACCGGCUAACUACGUG
This 461-nucleotide ribosomal RNA is filed under the name uncultured bacterium. RNAcentral describes it as "partial 16S ribosomal RNA". It matches the Rfam family "Bacterial small subunit ribosomal RNA", at positions 29 to 507 of the family's 1533-position model. The record is from RNAcentral.